CGCGCGCGCGCAUGCGCACUUCAAGUCUUCACCGACAUUCGUCUCCCGUUCUUCCUUUCGCUACUGAUCCUUGCUACCGGUGACAGUGGGUACGCCAGAAUCUUCCUCUCCCGUCAUCCUUAUCUAGUGUUUUUCCUUGGUUCCACGAUGGCCUCUCUUCCUUCUUGGUUCAUCGUCACUGUCGUCAUCAUAAGCGUGGGCUGUAGGACAUCCGUUGCUACCAUGGAAGUUCGAUCGUGUGGUCUUCUCCAUAUUCUUUCCAUUAAUUAGUCGUUGGUCCUCUCUUCUGCCUUCCCUUUUGUUGCUGUGGUCGAAAACCUCUUCCUCUUCUCAUUUCUUCUUAACGGUACUGUCUUGGGGACUUCAGAAGAAGAGAAGCUUGAUUGAAGUUGUAAGAAAGGAAUUUUAUGAACUUGGUGAUAUAUUAGAAGCAUUGAUUUGUGAAGAUCCCAUUAUCCAUCGUCAUGCCCUAGCUUCUUUGAGCACAUAAUUGCCUCCAUAAUCAGAGCUUAGUGAAGAAUCAGAGCCUUUGCAAGCGGUCGGGCUAUUGCUCUGUGAAGAAUUAGAGCAUUCUUAUGCUCUUGCUCUAACAACUUGGUGGAAUCUAUUCGAGCUAUUCUGUUCUACAAUUUCAUUCUGCAUUGACUAAAGAAAUUCUCAAGAAAUUAUUGGUGAAACUUAUUGAGAAGUAAGGAACAAGCCGAGCCCUAUUUUGUACAAGGGGAACCCUUUUGGUACCAAAGGGUUGAGGUCCAGGCGAAGGAUCCAGUGAUGGACGGGGAAAUGACCAAUGCUAGGGGUUUACUUGUGAUUUGUAACUGGCUCUUAAGAAAGGUAAACGCAAAGGUCAUAAUGACCUUAAUGUUCUCAGGGGUGGCCCCAGCAUUAACCCUAGCAAUGGUCCUAGCGUCGAUCCCAGCGGUGGCCCCAAUGUCGACCCCAGCAGUGGCCCUGAUGAUGUAGCUAAUGGUGAUGCUUCCAGUGUUGCUCCUAGUCUGACAAUGAAUGAUAAUCUACUUCAGGAGGAGGCAACUGAGAUUAGAAAGUGCUUAAUGUUGAUGACAAAAGUGAAUAGACGGAGGAUAGCUGGACAAAAAUAUCCCCUCCAAUGGAAUGCUAAAGGGCAAUUGAUUAAGGACAAUAAAGAUAAAUUCAUUAGCUAUAUUGAAGCUGUUGCAAAAGUAAAUGUGCCUAUCACACUCAGAAAUUAAAAGAAGGCAGAUCAUCUACGAGAUUGAGCGAGAAGGCACAGGAGUUAGUAGCAUAUCCUGCCAUGAUCUUUUUAUAGAAGGCUGAACUAACAAAGAGACAUUACAGAUGAGCAUGUUCAGGAGAUAGUUAAUAAAUGUGCUGCUAUCUUAGAUGAAGUCUCAAAGGGUGAGCAUCCGGAGGAUGAAGAUAUCUUGGGUUAGGCAUUGGAUAAUCCUGACCACCCCGAACGUGUUAAGGGUGUUGGUUUUAGCAUUAUCAAGAAGCAAGUAUUUGGGACUACAAAGCCAUCAAAAGGUGCAAUGCCUUCUUCAGCUAAGUUUAAUACACUAAAAGAUGAGGUUGAUAGGCUACAUCAGUUUGUUGAUGUGUUGCUCACGUCCCAAGGAAAGACAUCCACUCAUGUGGAAAUUAGUCCUAAUAGUAAGAGAGACAGUUGCAACGUAACUCAGCCUUCUUAUCCAAACCUUCCUGAGGGUGAAGCCGAAUGUGAGUUUUUGACAAACAGUCCAGAUCGCUGUGUGGUUGCAAUUGGUAUAAUGUAUAAUGUUCCUGAGGGCACUAUACAUAAUGUGCCAAUUCUUCUACGCCACGUAUGAGUUUGUCUAAAAGUUUCUUUGGACGACAACUAUCAGUUGCCCAUUCCUACGGAGGAUGUGAUGACUGUAGGAGAUGCAUUGGGCACCUUUGUUGCAUGGCCCACUGCCCUGAUAAAGGCCGAUAUCUAACAAAGAUAAGUCCAAGGAAAAAGACUUCCUCAGUAAACAAUCAACUGGCCAUGAUUCAAAGAUUAUCGCACCUCCCCUGCUUCAAAAGAUGGAGCCUCAAUUGUCACAUAAAUUCCUGACUUCACUAGGGGUAUAUGCAGACAUGCAAAGGAGUAUUCAUGAUUUUAUUGCUGUAGACGUCCCAUUUGAGCAUGGCAUGUAUGACAAAGAUUAUAUUAAUCACAUAACGCUCGAAGUCAUAGAUGAAGUACUCCACUAUGGCAUGAUUAGCAUGACCGUCAUGGAUUUUUAUUUAAGGUUUCUCUAUCUUACAAUCGUCGUGCCCCACAACCUUACUAGGAUGUUCACCUUCAUUUGUCCUUAUGACAUUACUGCUUUUUGUGACAUUCGGGACUCUGAUCAUGAAGAUCAAGCAAAGCGGCUGUGUGAUUCAUUCAAAGCCAGGACUACUAAAAAAAGGGGGAGGUUAUUCUUGAUACCUUACGUGUAAGGGGAUCAUUGGAUGCUAAUUGCCCUCAAUUCGGCUGAAGAAAAAUAUAAGAAAUUGCCAUCUAUUACUUAUGUUCUGCUGGCGGACAACUAGAUAAUCACAAAAAUAUGACGGAAUUAAUCAACAAGGCUGUGUUUUUUUUACUACACGUAUGAAUCUUUAACUGUCCUUAGGGUCAAACCAUUUGACCAGUUGUUCACAUGGACAAUAAUAAGGUACUCGCGUCAAAGACUAGAUUUAGUGGACUAUGGAUAUUGCAUGAUGAGAUUCAUUAAGGACAUCAUCACUCACACCAAGACUUCAAUCCCUACCAAGUAUUAUGAUAACGCUUAUUGUGAAGAAUUUGGGGAUGCUCACAUCAAUGAAGUUGUGGAAGAGUGGUGCCAACAUAUGUUUCAACUAUGGAUCAUGAAAAAUUCAUGCAUUUAGUGAGUGCACAUUUGGUCUAGCUUGAAGGCAAAAAGAAUGUGGCUUAGGAUAGAAUUAUUGUUUCAUUUUUUAGGAUAGAAUUGUGAUUUAGGAUUAAGAUUUGCAACUUUUUUGUUUAUAAUUAAUGUGUACUAUG
Molecule: long non-coding RNA, 2992 nt
Organism: Prosopis cineraria
Lineage: Eukaryota; Viridiplantae; Streptophyta; Magnoliopsida; Fabales; Fabaceae
Exons: 15
Source: RefSeq, a predicted model, not a curated record